CUCCCACCCAUGCUGCCACGCAUUUUAGUUCUCAGCUCCCAUUCUCCAAAUUCCCAGUCUCUGAAAGACUGACACACAGGGUCACUGAGGUUCCUCUGGGCAGGACAAGUCUCUGAAAUGCGAUCACAUUCAGGUGGGAAUUCUCCUUUUGAAUUUGGGCCUCUAAUUCGUGAUUCUCACAGGGGACUAUGGUUCGCCUGACCCUGGGGAGGGCCAGGAUGUGGCCACAGUUUGUUUUGCUUUGCUCAGUGCUGUCAGAGGGUGGGAAGGAGUAGAGCAGACGGUGUAUUUUUGGAUGCAGCUGCUCUUUGCCUGGGGAAGUACAGAGGGUGGUUUCAACUUGUCCUGGAGGUCACACCAUCACAUUUUCAUCAGCACUCUCGUGGGGCCUCACGGUGACUUGGUGAGGGCAUGAAGGUGACCAGAGAUGACCACCCGACUCUCCACCAGCUGAGAUGAGAAAACCAGAUUCCAGUAAGGGCUGCUGCUUGGGACCAACUGGGCAACCAGUCACCUCAGCCUCAUUCUGAGCAGCUUGAUGGCUCCAAGCCGCCUAAGGAUGGGGUUCCACUGAGCCCAAAGGGCCAGGCUUCAGAAUGGUGAUGGCACUGACUGGUGUCAUACAGGAACCAAAGUGCUAUGUUCACUUAGAAGGCACUCAAGCCUCUGGAGAAACAUGAGCAGUCUGGUUUUUAUGUUUUCCUUUUUAGUGAAAAUGCCUAGAAUGGAAUUUUAUUUAGAAAAGUCUAAAAAAUAGAGAGGAACAAAGAAGGUGGAGUAGAGGAAGGCUGCACCUUCCAGUUGCUCAGCCGCUUGGUACUGCUUCUCCAGCGAGCUGGGUGACUGAGGGCAUUGACUGAAAUUCAAUGUGGGACUGUCAGAGACUCAGAGAGACCCGGACAGUCUGGUGUUUUGAACAAGAGAGUACGUUGCAGCGAAGCCAGUGGUGGCAGCAAUAGUGGGUCACCACAGAUGGGAGGAGUGAUACAAA
RNAcentral lists this long non-coding RNA (991 nucleotides) under Marmota monax (woodchuck). Lineage: Eukaryota; Metazoa; Chordata; Mammalia; Rodentia; Sciuridae. The record is from RNAcentral.